CGAGGGGUAGCAGGACCUAGCAAUAGGUUGCUGACGACCGGCGCACGGGUGAGUAACACGUAUCCAACCUGCCUCAUACUCUGGGAUAGCCUUUCGAAAGAAAGAUUAAUACUGGAUGGCAUAAUUGAACCGCAUGGUUUGAUUAUUAAAGAAUUUCGGUAUGAGAUGGGGAUGCGUUCCAUUAGAUAGUUGGUGAGGUAACGGCUCACCAAGUCUUCGAUGGAUAGGGGUUCUGAGAGGAAGGUCCCCCACAUUGGAACUGAGACACGGUCCAAACUCCUACGGGAGGCAGCAGUGAGGAAUAUUGGUCAAUGGGCGCAGGCCUGAACCAGCCAAGUAGCGUGAAGGAUGAAGGCUCUAUGGGUCGUAAACUUCUUUUAUAGGGGAAUAAAGUGGAGAACGUGUUCUCCUUUGUAUGUACCCUAUGAAUAAGGAUCGGCUAACUCCGUGCCAGCAGCCGCGGUAAUACGGAGGAUCCGAGCGUUAUCCGGAUUUAUUGGGUUUAAAGGGAGCGUAGGUGGAAGCCUAAGUCAGUUGUGAAAGUUUGCGGCUCAACCGUAAAAUUGCAGUUGAUACUGGGUUUCUUGAGUACAGUAGAGGUGGGCGGAAUCGUGG
RNAcentral lists this ribosomal RNA (615 nucleotides) under Bacteroides sp. RNAcentral's name for it is "bacterial SSU rRNA". It matches the Rfam family "Bacterial small subunit ribosomal RNA", at positions 63 to 672 of the family's 1533-position model. Lineage: Bacteria; Pseudomonadati; Bacteroidota; Bacteroidia; Bacteroidales; Bacteroidaceae. The record is from RNAcentral.